Molecule: ribosomal RNA, 377 nt
Filed under: uncultured bacterium
Lineage: Bacteria
Description: bacterial SSU rRNA
Rfam family: Bacterial small subunit ribosomal RNA
Source: RNAcentral
UAAUACGUAGGGAGCAAGCGUUGUCCGGAAUCAUUGGGCGUAAAGAGCGCGUAGGCGGCCCUGUAAGUCCGUUCUGAAAGUCGGAGGCUCAACCUCCGAAAGCGGAUGGAUACUGCAGGGCUAGAGUCCGGAAGAGGCGAGUGGAAUUCCUGGUGUAGCGGUGGAAUGCGCAGAUAUCAGGAGGAACACCAACGGCGAAGGCAGCUCGCUGGGACGGUACUGACGCUGAGGCGCGAAAGCGUGGGGAGCAAACAGGAUUAGAUACCCUGGUAGUCCACGCCGUAAACGAUGGGCAUUAGGUGUGGGAGGUGUCGACUCCUCCCGUGCCGGCGCUAACGCAUUAAAUGCCCCGCCUGGGGAGUACGGCCGCAAGGCUA